UUUUGUAUAAUGGGUCAGCGACUUACUGUUCGUGGCAAGCUUAACCGUAUAGGGGAGGCGAAGGGAAACCGAGUCUGAUAAGGGCGCAUAGUCGCGGGCAGUAGACCCGAAACCGGGUGAUCUAGUCAUGCCCAGGGUGAAGGUGCGGUAACACGCACUGGAGGCCCGAACCCACUCCCGUUGCAAAGGUAGGGGAUGAGGUGUGAUUAGGAGUGAAAA
This 219-nucleotide ribosomal RNA is filed under the name Stenotrophomonas maltophilia. Its description in RNAcentral is "partial 23S ribosomal RNA". It matches the Rfam family "Bacterial large subunit ribosomal RNA", at positions 606 to 827 of the family's 2925-position model. The record is from RNAcentral. Lineage: Bacteria; Pseudomonadati; Pseudomonadota; Gammaproteobacteria; Lysobacterales; Lysobacteraceae.